Molecule: long non-coding RNA, 1564 nt
Organism: Antechinus flavipes (yellow-footed antechinus)
Lineage: Eukaryota; Metazoa; Chordata; Mammalia; Dasyuromorphia; Dasyuridae
Exons: 2
Source: RefSeq, a predicted model, not a curated record
ACAAAAAAAACAGGUAAGGAUUGAUUCCAUCAAGCCACACAAAAAGCAAGAUAAGCCAAAAAAUUCUAAGAGUCCAAAGAUGCCUCUGUGUCUUAUUUUGCAGAGUUUAAUGCUAAUUUCCUAAUUCUCUAGCUCUCUUCUUCACAGAUUCACAUGGAGAGUCAUUUAGUUGUUUGGUGGUGUUCUUUCUCCCUUCACCAACUUUUCCUAAUAUUUAUGGUUCUCUAUUUUAUCUUUCUUUUGCUCUUUAACCCCCAAUUUUUUUUUGUCAUCACCAUGAACAAAAAGGAGUACCACAGAAAAAUCAGAAGGGAAAAUAAACCUACUUAUUCAUUCAAUCAACAAGUGUUCACCCUCAGGAACCCAGUAAGGACUCUUAGAGGGUGAUAAGGAAAGGAAAUGCUCCAAUGGCAUUGGGACGCCCGUUAAAAAUCCCCAGGGAGAUAUUCCAAUUGAAUUUAAGAAUCCCGUGUUACUAACAAGUCCGGACACCUCUCAAAAUACCCAACACUUAAGCAAGAAGCUAUUCCCCUGCCAUCAUCUAAGCCAAAGUUAAUCACUAUCAUAAAACUGCCCAUUUCGUCAGCUAGUCACUCAAUUACCCAAUAUUCUCUGAGAAUAUUAUUCAGUAUUCUCAGAACUCCCACUAUGAAGGGCCCUAUGCACUGCAGGAGAUACAAGGAGACAAAAUUACUGGACUUUCAUUUAUUUUCUUUUAACUGCCUGGAAAAAUAAGGCUCACGGGGUUAAAUGAGACACAGGUGAGACCCGUUCAUGCAACGUCAAGCAAGGCAGAACUUAGGGAUAAAAGCGGGCCAUCCCCAAACCCGCUUCCCUCCGUCCCGGACAAACCAUGACUUUUCCAGCCCCUCCGUGCUCCUUGGGUUCCUAGCCCUGGUGCUCCUUGGGUUCCUUACACCGGCGCUCCUGAGCAGAAUAAAGAGAGUUCAUCCUAAUGAGGAAAACAGCUCUCCACAUCCUAGCACACUAUGUGCCCUGAGGACAGUGUUAACAUAGUUAAUCUUUUUUUUUCUUUUUUUCCCCCUCAAGUCAUCAAGCUAUAUUCUCCUUCAGAAAAUCCAAACACUUGUGGGAUCAAAGUCAGGAGUACUCAGAAAUGAAAUCCAUUCUCCUAAUUUCUUUUCUGCCUGUUCCUUAAAUCCCUAGAGACACCAUGUAAUACCACUGCUAGCUUCCUCUGCUCCUUCAAGAAAGAAAGGAGAGGAAAAAAAAAAAAGAAAAUGAGCUGGAAGAAAGUAGGUGUAGAAUAUUCAAGAUACUAUAUGAAACCCACAAGCCUCCAACAUGGCGGAUCCAACUCCUCUCCCUCACGUACAUCCCCAAGCCUGGGGCUGCCAUGUAGCCCAAUUAAGGUCUAUCCCUGAAAGUAUCCCUGCUGCGUGGAGCUGUGCAUUGGGGCACACAGGAAGAGGAGGGGAAGAAGCACUUUUUCCUACAAAUACAAGUGCUUAGAAAAGUGUCCGGCCCCUAAUUCGUGAUAUGAAAAUGUUUGCUGAUAAAUUGAAAUAAUGAGUGUAAGAAUGAAUUAAAGAACAGAAGCAUU